CCCCGUUUGGGUACUGGCGCUGCGCGCUAGCAUGUUCCUUAGUCAUUCGCAAAAGAAAGGUAACAGAUGCAAAUGCAAAUACAAAAAAUCUGGAAAGUUCUUAGGUCUUUCUCCACAGUGCUCCUAACGAGUCUCCUACUAUUAGGAGGGGUAUUCGCUUAUGCCGAGACAGGCGCCGUGAAGUGGUUCAAUGAAACCAAGGGAUUCGGAUUUAUCAUGCAAGACGAUGGAGGAAGCGACGUAUUCGUACACUUCAGCGCGAUACAAGGGGAAGGCUUUAGAACGCUUACCGAGGGCCAGAAAGUCUCUUUCGAUAUCGAGCAGGGCGCGAAAGGCCCUAAGGCGGCAAACGUAAGAGUCGUAAAGUAAGAGUCCUAAAAUCAAAAUGAGCGGCGCUAGCGAGGCUUCGCCU
Molecule: unclassified non-coding RNA, 412 nt
Filed under: Candidatus Kentrum sp. LPFa
Lineage: Bacteria; Pseudomonadati; Pseudomonadota; Gammaproteobacteria
Description: Candidatus Kentron sp. LPFa cspA thermoregulator
Source: RNAcentral